AGUACCGAAAGGAGCUGUGGACUUUUAAGAAGAGAGAAUGCCGGAAUGAGUAGCGAGAGUAAGGUGAGAAUCCUUACGGCCGAAUAUCCAAGGUUUCCAGGGUAAAGCUGAUCUGCCCUGGGGAAGUCGGGACCUAAGGCGAGGCCGAGAGGCGUAGCCAAUGGACAACAGGUUGAGAUUCCUGUACUACAGUAUGACAGAACUGUGGGGACGCAGAAGGAGAGCACUACCUGGAAUGGAAUCCAGGGGCAAGCACAGGAGGGGUACGGCUGGAAAAACCGCCGUGCAACCCAAAGGUGUGACGCAUACCGAACUAAAGUAGGGAAAUGUGUGAGCCGGCUGCCGAGAAAAGCCGCUACUGUUUGUACUGUACCCGUACCGUAAACCGACACAGGUGGAUGAGGAGAGAAUCCUAAGGCCGACGGAAGAAGCAUUGCUAAGGAACUCGGCAAAAUGACCCUGUAACUUCGGGAGAAAGGGUGCCUCGAAAGAGGCCGCAGAGAAUAGGCCCAAGCAACUGUUUAGCAAAAACACAGGUCUAUGCAAAACCGCAAGGUGAAGUAUAUGGGCUGACGCCUGCCCGGUGCUGGAAGGUUAAGGGGAGAUGUCAGGAGACGAAGCAUCGAACUUAAGCCCCAGUAAACGGCGGCCGUAACAAUAACGGUCCUAAGGUAGCGAAAUUCCUUGUCGGGUAAGUUCCGACCCGCACGAAAGGCGUAAUGAUUUAGGCGCUGUCUCGGCAAUGCAUCCGGUGAAAUUGAAGUGCCAGUGAAGAUGCUGGCUACCCGCGCCAGGACGGAAAGACCCCAUGGAGCUUUACUCCAGCUUGAUACUGGGAUUCGGUAUUGUAUGUACAGGAUAGGUGGGAGGCUGAGAAAUGGUGACGCCAGUCGCCAUGGAGCCGCUGUUGGGAUACCACCCUUGCAGUACUGGAUUUCUAACCAGCAGCCGUGAUCCGGCUGGGGGACAAUGUCAGGUGGGGAGUUUGACUGGGGCGGUCGCCUCCGAAAGGGUAUCGGAGGCGCUCAAAGGUUCCCUCAGAAUGGUCGGAAACCAUUCGAAGAGUGCAAAGGCAGAAGGGAGCUUGACUGCGACACCGACGGGUGGGGCAGGUACGAAAGUAGGACUUAGUGAUCCGGUGGUAUUAAGUGGGAAUGCCAUCGCUCAACGGAUAAAAGCUACCCUGGGAUAACAGGCUUAUCACUCCCAAGAGUUCACAUCGACGGAGUGGUUUGGCACCUCGAUGUCGGCUCAUCGCAUCCUGGGGCUGUAGUAGGUCCCAAGGGUUGGGCUGUUCGCCCAUUAAAGCGGUACGCGAGCUGGGUUCAGAACGUCGUGAGACAGUUCGGUCCCUAUCCGGCGUGGGCGUAGGAUAUUUGAGAGGAGCUGACCUUAGUACGAGAGGACCGGGUUGGACUGACCUCUGGUGCACCGGUUGUCAUGCCAAUGGCACAGCCGGGUAGCCAAGUCGGGAAGGGAUAAACGCUGAAGGCAUCUAAGCGUGAAGCCCCCCUCAAGAUGAGAUAUCCCCCGCAUAAGCGGUAAGACCCCUUGAAGACGACGAGGUAGAUAGGGCAGAGGUGGAAGUGCAGUAAUGUAUGGAGCUGACUGCUACUAAUAGGUCGAAGGCUUAAAAAG
Molecule: ribosomal RNA, 1638 nt
Filed under: metagenome
Description: bacterial LSU rRNA
Rfam family: Bacterial large subunit ribosomal RNA
Source: RNAcentral